RNAcentral lists this ribosomal RNA (808 nucleotides) under uncultured Polyangiaceae bacterium. Its description in RNAcentral is "bacterial SSU rRNA". It matches the Rfam family "Bacterial small subunit ribosomal RNA", at positions 8 to 796 of the family's 1533-position model. Lineage: Bacteria; Pseudomonadati; Myxococcota; Polyangiales; Polyangiaceae. The record is from RNAcentral.
AGAGUUUGAUCCUGGCUCAGAACGAACGUUAGCGGCGCGCUUAACACAUGCAAGUCGAGCGAGAAAGGGCUUCGGCCCCGGUAAAGCGGCGCACGGGUGAGUAACACGUAGGUAAUCUGCCUCUUGGCGGUGGAUAACCCUUCGAAAGGAGGGCUAAUACAGCAUAAGACCACGCGGUCGAAAGACGGUGGGGUAAAAGCCGGCCUCUUCACGAAAGCUGGCACCGAGAGAUGAGCCUGCGGCCCAUCAGGUAGUUGGUAGGGUAACGGCCUACCAAGCCGAAGACGGGUAGCUGGUCUGAGAGGAUGAUCAGCCACACUGGAACUGAGACACGGUCCAGACUCCUACGGGAGGCAGCAGUGGGGAAUCUUGCGCAAUGGGCGAAAGCCUGACGCAGCGACGCCGCGUGAGUGAUGAAGGCCUUCGGGUUGUAAAGCUCUGUGGAGGGGGACGAAUAAGGGCCUUCGAAUAGACGGCCCGAUGACGGUACCCCUUUAGCAAGCACCGGCUAACUCUGUGCCAGCAGCCGCGGUAAGACAGAGGGUGCAAACGUUGUUCGGAAUUACUGGGCGUAAAGCGCGUGUAGGCGGCUCGGCAAGUCGGGUGUGAAAGCCCUGGGCUUAACCUAGGAAGUGCACUCGAAACUGCCAAGCUUGAGUUCUGGAGAGGAAGGCGGAAUUCUCGGUGUAGAGGUGAAAUUCGUAGAUAUCGAGAGGAACACCGGUGGCGAAGGCGGCCUUCUGGACAGCAACUGACGCUGAGACGCGAAAGCGUGGGGAGCAAACAGGAUUAGAUACCCCCGUAGUCC